CCUACGGGGGGCAGCAGUGGGGAAUUUUGGACAAUGGGCGCAAGCCUGAUCCAGCCAUGCCGCGUGAGUGAAGAAGGCCUUCGGGUUGUAAAGCUCUUUCGGGGACCGUGCGGUACUCGCAGAAGAAGCACCGGCUAACUACGUGCCAGCAGCCGCGGUAAUACGUAGGGUGCAGGCGUUAAUCGGAAUUACUGGGCGUAAAGCGUGCGCAGGCGGCUCCUUAAGUCAGAUGUGAAAUCCCCGGGCUUAACCUGGGAACUGCGUUUGAAACUGAGGGGCUUGAGUGUGGAAGAGGGGGGUGGAAUUCCAGGUGUAGCAGUGAAAUGCGUAGAGAUCUGGAGGAACACCGAUGGCGAAGGCAGCCCCCUGGGCUAAACUGACGCUCAUGCACGAAAGCGUGGGGAGCAAACAGGAUUAGAUACCCUUGUAGUC
This 432-nucleotide ribosomal RNA is filed under the name uncultured bacterium. RNAcentral describes it as "partial 16S ribosomal RNA". It matches the Rfam family "Bacterial small subunit ribosomal RNA", at positions 338 to 795 of the family's 1533-position model. The record is from RNAcentral.